CCUUCAACCAAACAAACUUUUAAUGUCACAUAUCUUCUCCCUCCUCUCACUCCUCUGCACCAAUCAACUCUCCUCCACCGCUCAUUGUUUAUCCAAGUAAGAACUCGCUGAAGGACCUGGAUUGUUGCCUUUACUAGGCGAGAUGAUGAAGAUGGAGUCCUAAGCGAGCUAAGUCUAGGAUCUACAAUCAGUGAAUUCUUUGCAAUUUUGACACCGGCAUCUGCAACCAACAAUAAGGAUUUCUUCUUUGUGAUUUCUGCUUAUGAUUUCUUCUUCAUGAUCUCUUUUGCCUUUGGCAUUCGAUUUUUGCUUCUCCUUCAUGAUUUUUGAAUAUUGCAUCUUGUCAACGAUUGAAACCCCAUCAUGUGUAAGGAAGACCUCAGCGAUGACGGCCAAAGACAGUGAUGGCAUCGCUGUGAAAGGUGGACGAGUCCUAAUGAGGCAGUGCAUGUAUUCUGUGGUCUCAACACACGGCAAAGAAGAGAUGAAAGGAUAAAACAUACAAGGUCAUUGAAGUGCCUCCACAUGUUGGUUUCCACCCACAGCUUCAGCUUCAGCUUCCUCCUUGGUCACCUCGUUUAGCUCAAUUGAACGCUUCCUCUUCCAUGGAUUUUACUGUAUCGAAUUGUUCUACUUUUUAGUGCCCAUGUAAAUUCAUGGCCUUGCUUAGGUUUCCAGUUUCUUUGGACACCUUUGAUUCAAAGAAGGCCAAUUUCCCUUUGAAUUCUGCUGAUCGUAGCUCCGGCUUUUCGCCUUCUUCCAGUUCCCUUCAUGCGCUUCGAGUUUGCGCUUUCGUUUCUUUGAGCAGGAUCAAAUACGUCCAAGUCUCUAGGCUCGAAAAUGAGCUAUCCGGUGUUUCCGAUGACGGUUUGGACGAGGGGAAUCUGAACUCGAGAUUUGAACCUGGGAAGAAAGUUCGGGUAGCAAAGAAGGUAGCGAACAGAGAAUUUGAAGUGGAUUUGAAAUUUAGAUACAAAAGGAAAGAUGGCACACUCGAUAUAGACGAGUUCUUUGUAUAUGAUGGUGAUUUUGAUGUAGAUUACUCUUCCAUUCGGGUUGACUUGAGCUCUGAACUUUGUAACGCGAUCUUGAAAAGGCUUGAAAAAAGAAGUGAUGACAAAGCUCUGGUGUUUUUUCAGUGGAUGACGAGCAAUGGUAAGUUAGAACAGAAUAUUGGUGCUUAUAAUGUGAUUAUUCGCAUGUUAAGUAGGAGAGAGAACUGGGAUGCUGCGGAGAAAAUGAUUCAGGAAAUGAGAAGCAAAUUUGGUUCUGAAUUGAAUUUUCAGGUUUUUAACACGCUUAUCUACGCAUGCUCCAAACGGGGUCUUGUGGGGCUAGGUGCAAGAUGGUUUCAAAUGAUGUUAGACUCUGGUGUUCGUCCAAAUAUUGCGACCUUUGGUAUGCUCAUGGGGCUUUAUCAGAAGGGUUGGAAUGUUGAUGAGGCAGAGUUCACAUUUUCAAAGAUGAGGAGCUUCGGGAUUGUAUGUCAAUCUGCUUAUUCAGCGAUGAUUACUAUUUAUACCCGUUUAAGAUUGUAUGAGAAAGCAGAAGGAAUUAUUGGGUUGAUGACAGAAGAUAAGGUGCCUCUUAGUCUGGGAAAUUGGUUGGCGGUACUAAAUGCUUAUAGCCAGCAAGGCAAAAUGAAGGAUGCUGAAAAUGUAUUUAUGUCAAUGCAAGAAGCAGGGCUUUCCUCCAAUAUCAUUGCUUAUAAUACAAUGAUAACUGGGUACGGGAAGGCAUCUAACAUGGAUGCUGCUCAGAGCCUUUUUCUGAAUAUGCAGAAUGUUGGGAUGGAUCCUGAUGAAACCACUUACCGUUCAAUGAUUGAAGGUUGGGGUAGAGCUGGUAAUUUUGAACAAGCAAGAAGGUACUAUGGUGAGCUGAAACGGUUGGGAUACAUGCCCAAUUCCUCCAACCUGUACACAUUGAUAAAAUUGCAAGCCAAACAUGCAGAUGAAGAGGGUGCCAUGACAACCCUUAAUGAUAUGCUGGAGACUGGAUGCCAGUAUUCUUCUAUUCUUGGGAUUCUUUUACAAGCAUAUGAGAGAGCUGGAAGAGUUGAUAAAGUGCCACUUUUGCUGAAAGAUUCGUUUUAUCAGCACAUUUUAGUCAACCAGAAUUCUUGCUCAACUCUGGUCAUGGCUUAUAUAAAACAUCAAUUGGUGGAUGAGGCCUUGAAAGUAUUGAAUGACAAAAAGUGGAAUGAUCCUCAUUAUGAGGAUAAUUUGUAUCAUCUGAUUAUUUGCUUGUGUAAAGAGGUAGGCUUGCUUCAAGACGCUGUUAAAAUGUACAGUCAAAUGCCCAAACAUGAUGACAAGCCAAACCUGCACAUUUCAUGCACUAUGAUUGACAUUUAUUGUAUCAUGGGUCUCUUCGAGGAAGCAGAAAAACUCUAUCUGAAGUUGAAAUCUUUGGAAACCUCCCUGGAUAUGAUUGCUUUCAGCGUUGUUGUAAGAAUGUAUGUCAAAGCUGGAUCUUUUGAAGAUGCUUGCUCUGUUCUGGAUGAAAUUGACAAGCGACCAGAUAUCAUUCCAGAUGUUUUUCUGUUACGUGAUAUGCUCCGCACUUAUCAACGAUGUGGUAUGCUGGAUAAAUUAUCUGAUUUAUACUACAAAAUCUCAAAAGAUCGAGUGAAUUGGGACCAGGAAAUGUAUAAUUGCAUCCUGAACUGCUGUGCACGUGCUGUGCCUGUAGAUGAGCUUACCAGGCUUUUUGAUGAGAUGCUUCAGCGUGGAUUUUCACCUAAUACAAUUACCUUCAAUGUCAUGCUUGAUGUCUAUGGAAAAGCCAAGUUAUUCAAGAAGGCGGAGAGGUUGUUCUUCAUGGCUAAAAGGCGGGGCCUGGCGAACGUGAUUUCUUACAAUACUAUUAUAGCUGCAUUUGGGAAGAACAAGGACUUCAAAAACAUGUCAUCAACUGUCCAGAAGAUGAAAUUUGAUGGCUUUGAAGUUUCCCUGGAAGCCUACAAUUCAAUGCUAGAUGCUUAUGGAAAGGAUGGUCAAAUGGAGACUUUUAGAAGCGUAUUGCAGAAAAUGAAGGAGUCAGGAUGUACCUCUGACCACUACACAUACAACACUGUGAUCAAUAUUUAUGGAGAUCAAGGAUGGAUUGAUGAAGUCGCAAGUGUUCUCAGCGAACUGAGAGAAUGUGGACUUGGACCUGAUUUGUACAGCUAUAACACAUUGAUCAAAGCAUAUGGUAUUGCUGGAAUGGUCGAAGAUGCUGUAGAUUUGAUUAAGGAGAUGAGAGAAAAUGGAAUUGAACCUGACUGCAUAACCUACAAUAAUCUUAUCACGGCUCUUAGAAGAAAUGAUAAGAUUUUAGAGGCUGUUAAAUGGUCACUGUGGAUGAAGCAGUUGAAGUUGUAAAUUUCAUAAAACUGCAUCCUCGAUGUGGUCUUGGGCCUUUCAAUCGUGCUUCUCUGAAUAAUAUCAUGAAUUACAGAGGUCUUGACUUUUCAGGGGAAUAGUGGUACAAGAUGUUGACUGCAACUCUGCAAGGGCAAUAAGAGGACAGAUGGGAUCAUAGGAUAGGAAGUAUUUGGCGGCACAGAGAAAUGAGUCUAUCUCUAGGAAUGUCUCACAUGGAAAAUGCCACUGUCCAUUAAGCAGCAGAGCCGGUGAACAAAAUUGCAAACAAAAAAAUCUUACUGGGAAUCCAUUCUCUACAUGGUGUAACAGGCAAUGAAGCUUUAUAUCCACCUGAAUCAGCACCUAGAAGAUCAUAGUACUGUUCUGAGCAUUCUAGCAACAUAAGAGUUCUGGAAAAUACCCUUGGGGUCUGUUUUCUUUCCUUGGCAUUUCUUGGAGGCACCAUGGGUCACUGUUCCCACCAAAGCUUCCGAGACAGGUUGUAAUGGAAGGUAAGAAUGUUGAUGUGGAAACUCAUGAUUGUGGUGGAGAAAUGCUCAGUUGAAAAAGUAUGGUGACUCAAGAACCUUCCGCAAGUCAAAAUCACCUCUCUCUGGCAGUCCAGGGAACGUCAAUCCUGGGUAUGAUUUCUGAAAGUCUUCCAGCAACUGCGAAAUUAUUGAUUAUUCAAUUAUGACAAGGUUCUUUUUAAGGACCGGAUUAUAACAAGUGUAAAAUAAACAAAUAAUGAGGUUUGAUCCCACCGUUUGGUCUAAAAGGAAAUGGCUAAGUAGCUACUAAUAGGGACACUUUCAAUGUAUAUGGAGAUCCGAUGCAGUUAGAGUAUAAUAAGAUUCUUUGGCAGUCUCUCUAUUAAA
RNA transcript from Prosopis cineraria, 4228 nucleotides. It is a transcript of the gene named pentatricopeptide repeat-containing protein At4g30825, chloroplastic, with no coding region annotated. The record is from RefSeq and is a predicted model, not a curated record. NCBI's taxonomy places the organism in Eukaryota, Viridiplantae, Streptophyta, Magnoliopsida, Fabales, Fabaceae. The transcript has 4 exons.